This 253-nucleotide ribosomal RNA is filed under the name uncultured bacterium. RNAcentral describes it as "partial 16S ribosomal RNA". It matches the Rfam family "Bacterial small subunit ribosomal RNA", at positions 524 to 776 of the family's 1533-position model. The record is from RNAcentral.
UACGGGGGGAGCAAGCGUUGUUCGGAUUUACUGGGCGUAAAGGGCGCGUAGGCGGCGCAACAAGUCACUUGUGAAAUCUCUGGGCUUAACCCGGAGCGGCCAAGUGAUACUGUCGUGCUAGAGUGCGGAAGGGGCUACUGGAAUUCUCGGUGUAGCGGUGAAAUGCGUAGAUAUCGAGAGGAACACCUGCGGCGAAGGCGGGUAGCUGGGCCGACACUGACGCUGAGGCGCGAAAGCGUGGGGAGCGAACAGG